This 482-nucleotide ribosomal RNA is filed under the name uncultured bacterium. RNAcentral describes it as "partial 16S ribosomal RNA". It matches the Rfam family "Bacterial small subunit ribosomal RNA", at positions 28 to 507 of the family's 1533-position model. The record is from RNAcentral.
GAUGAACGCUAGCGGCAGGCCUAAUACAUGCAAGUCGGACGGGAUUCAGGAGCUUGCUUCUGAUGAGAGUGGCGCACGGGUGCGUAACACGUAUGUAACCUACCUUUAUCAGGGGGAUAGCCUCUCGAAAGAGAGAUUAAGCCCGCAUAAAAUCACAGCACAGCAUUGUGUAAUGAUCAAAUAUUUAUAGGAUAAAGAUGGGCAUGCGGAAAAUUAGCUAGAUGGCGGGGUAACGGCCCACCAUGGCGACGAUGUUUAGGGGAUCUGAGAGGAUGGCCCCCCACACGGGUACUGAGACACGGACCAGACUCCUACGGGAGGUAGCAGUAAGGAAUAUUGGUCAGUGGGAGGAAGCCUGAACCAGCCAUGCCGCGUGCAGGAAGACGGCCCUACGGGUUGUAAACUGCUUUUAGACGGGAAUAAACCCAGAUACGUGUAGCUGGCUGAAUGUACUGUAAGAAUAAGGAUCGGCUAACUCCGUG